UUGAAAUCUUAUUCCCAAAACCUCAUUUCUCAACUCUAAACCCUAAACCCUAAACUCUAAACCCUAAACCCUAAACCUUAAAUUCUAAACCCUAAACCCUAAAUUCUAAACCCUAAACCCUAAACCCUAAUCUAUAAACCUUAAACCCUAAACUCUAAACCAUAAACCCUAAACCCCAUCCUUUAACUCUAAACCCUAAGUUUGUGACUUUUGAUAAAACGUUAAGUGCUAUUUUUGUGAUUUUUGAUCUUG
RNAcentral lists this long non-coding RNA (252 nucleotides) under Brassica napus (rape). RNAcentral describes it as "long non-coding RNA (BNAP_LNC009175)". The record is from RNAcentral. Lineage: Eukaryota; Viridiplantae; Streptophyta; Magnoliopsida; Brassicales; Brassicaceae.